This is a small nuclear RNA of Bison bison bison, 104 nucleotides long. NCBI's taxonomy places the organism in Eukaryota, Metazoa, Chordata, Mammalia, Artiodactyla, Bovidae. The record is from Ensembl.
GUGCUGCUUUAGCAGCACAUAUGCUAAAACUGGAAUGAUACAGAGAAAAUGAGCAUUGCCUGAGCAAGGAUAACAUGCAAAUUUGUGAAGCAAUCCGUAUUUUU